This 307-nucleotide ribosomal RNA is filed under the name uncultured eukaryote. RNAcentral's name for it is "partial 18S ribosomal RNA". It matches the Rfam family "Eukaryotic small subunit ribosomal RNA", at positions 1470 to 1796 of the family's 1831-position model. The record is from RNAcentral.
CCCUUAGACGUUCUGGGCCGCACGCGCGCUACACUGACGAAGGCAACGAGCUUUCCUUUACCGAAAGGUACGGGUAAUCUUUUGAAACUUCGUCGUGCUGGGGAUAGAUCCUUGCAAUUUUUGAUCUUAAACGAGGAAUGCCUAGUAAGCGCAAGUCAUCAACUUGCGUUGAUUACGUCCCUGCCCCUUGUACACACCGCCCGUCGCUACUACCGAUUGAAUGGUUUAGUGAGGCCUUCGGAUCCGCGACUCGUUUGUGGAGAAGUUGGACAAACUCAGUCAUUUAGAGGAAGUAAAAGUCGUAACA